This 504-nucleotide ribosomal RNA is filed under the name uncultured bacterium. RNAcentral describes it as "bacterial SSU rRNA". It matches the Rfam family "Bacterial small subunit ribosomal RNA", at positions 30 to 527 of the family's 1533-position model. The record is from RNAcentral.
AUUGAACGCUGGCGGCAUGCCUUACACAUGCAAGUCGAACGGUAACGCGGGGCAACCUGGCGACGAGUGGCGAACGGGUGAGUAAUAUAUCGGAACGUGCCCAGUUGUGGGGGAUAGCCCGGCGAAAGCCGGAUUAAUACCGCAUACGACCUGAGGGUGAAAGCGGGGGAUCUUCGGACCUCGCGCAAUUGGAUCGGCCGAUAUCAGAUUAGGUAGUUGGUGGGGUAAAGGCUCACCAAGCCAACGAUCUGUAGCUGGUCUGAGAGGACGACCAGCCACACUGGGACUGAGACACGGCCCAGACUCCUACGGGAGGCAGCAGUGGGGAAUUUUGGACAAUGGGCGCAAGCCUGAUCCAGCUAUGCCGCGUGCAGGAAGAAGGCCUUCGGGUUGUAAACUGCUUUUGUCUAGAGAAGAAAUCUUCUGGGUUAAUAACUCGGGAGGAUGACGGUAUCUGAAGAAUAAGCACCGGCUAACUACGUGCCAGCAGCCGCGGUAAUCUCG